AUAGGUGUAGCUCAGUGGUAGAGUACUUAGCAUGAUCAAGGCCCUGGGUUCAAGGCCCUGGGUUCAAUCCUCAGCUCUUCAA
Molecule: transfer RNA, 82 nt
Filed under: Marmota monax (woodchuck)
Lineage: Eukaryota; Metazoa; Chordata; Mammalia; Rodentia; Sciuridae
Description: tRNA.Undet
Source: RNAcentral